Molecule: ribosomal RNA, 279 nt
Filed under: uncultured bacterium
Lineage: Bacteria
Description: partial 16S ribosomal RNA
Rfam family: Bacterial small subunit ribosomal RNA
Source: RNAcentral
UGCCAGCAGCCGCGGUAACACGAACCGUCCAAACGUUAUUCGGUAUCACUGGGCUUAAAGCGUGCGUAGGCGGCUUGGAAGGUCAGAGGUGAAAUCCCACAGCUCAACUGUGGAACUGCCUUUGAAACCAUCAGGCUUGAGGGAGAUAGGGGUGAUCGGAACUUAUGGUGGAGCGGUGAAAUGCGUUGAUAUCAUAGGGAACACCGGUGGCGAAAGCGGAUCACUGGAUCUCUUCUGACGCUGAGGCACGAAAGCUAGGGUAGCGAACGGGAUUAGAUA